Molecule: long non-coding RNA, 6720 nt
Filed under: Homo sapiens (human)
Lineage: Eukaryota; Metazoa; Chordata; Mammalia; Primates; Hominidae
Description: long non-coding RNA NONHSAT202811.1
Source: RNAcentral
CACAAAUGUUCAUGACCGUAUUUAAGAGAAUGAAGGCUAAAUGACACAUCCAUCUUUUUGGUAGGUUGCAUUAUCAUUUGAAAUAUUUGUUGCCCCUCCCUGAGUUCACCUUCCUGCAGAAAGAUGAUAACUUACCUGGCUGUUAAGGUCUAGCACACUCAAUUUGCUUGCUCUAUGCCUAGAGCAUUGUGAGGAAAAGUGACAUAUGUCACUUUGGAGGAGAAACAUUAAGAACAAGCACCUGGUUUGCUGCAUCUUUUAUUCCUCUACUAUAAGACCAGCUACAGCCAAAAUAAGACCUGCUCUAUGAGUCUGGGUCUAUGUGUGGAGCAGAUUUGCAGCUGACCCAUAAUAGGCGUAUGAUGUGAGCCGGAAAUAAACCUCUGUUUAUUUGGGGUUGUUUGUUCCUGCAUCAUUACUUUAGCUUAUCCUGACUGUUGCAUUUUCCAUCCAAAUAACAGCAGCAUCAUAAACAUUUAUAUAAUUUGUAUAACAGUUUGCUUAGGCUUCUUAUGUACCUAUUUACCCUUUCCCAAAAUCCAAAUUUACUCAGUUUCAUCUUCUUGACAACAGAAUCCCAACUUCAUUCCAGCUGCAAUAUGCCCAACCCCAGCAUGUGUCCAACUACAGUUCAAUUAUUCUAAGCCAAUCACAGCAACUCAGUUCUCCCUUGAAAGUCAUUGGCCUAGGGGUUAGCAUAUGAGUCAGUUCUGAACAAUGAGCCUUAAGGAGAAUCUGCCUAAGAUUUCAGGAGUAUCUUUCUUUUCUGAUAAGAGCAGCAUGCAAAGUCAGAAAGCCUUUUUUGUCCUCUUCCCAUCACUUUCAGCUUUAAAAGCCAUAAUAGAAGAAUGUGGUGCUCGAGCUCUGACCAUGAAGAUAAACACCAGUGUGCCCUGAAAGCAAUGGAGUCAAGGAUAGAAAGAGCUGGAUCCUUGACAUAACUGAACCAUCCACUCACCCACAGGACUGCCUACCUGGACUUCACAGUGAACUGUUAAUGUCUUUAUGGUUUAAGCCAUAUGUCUGAUUUUUCUGUUUCUUGCUGCCAAAAUCAUCCUAACUGACAAAACCUUCAUGGACACAGCAUUGUUCACAUGGCCCAUUUCACAAGGAGUUCAUCUUUAUGACUGCCCCAGAUAGGCCUUGAAUUUACCAGUUACUUAAAAAAACCACAAUGAGAGUCAAAGGAAUUUUGGGCCUUUGCUUAAUUUGACUGCUCUAAACCCAGCUCAGACCUUGAUGAAGUCCUCUUUAAUAUGCAUUGAACAAAACCAUCAGCUCCCUGUGGUCAUUUAUUGUAGGUCCUUUGUCUCUAUAAGGUCCUAGGAGCUACCUAGUCCUGUUUCUUCCCCCUGCCCCACCCCCUCCCCAUCUCUACCACCAAACCCCAAUGUACAAUUUCAACAGCAAAACAAAGUUAAGCCAGAAGAGCUGCCAGUGUCCCUGUCUUGAGCUCUCCCUAUUGUAUCCUAAUGCUGCAAUAAGAUGAGUGCAGAGGGACCUCAUGGCUUAAGCCCCAAAGAGUACUAUGUGCAUCGAUCCUCAAUCCUCGCUCCCAGUCACCGAGAUGAGCAGCAAAUGCCUCAGGGUAGAUCAUGGAUUUGGGCAAAUAGGAAUGCAUCUAAAUGCUCAACAGAAGUUUGGUUUUUUCAGUUUCUUGGAAUAGUCUCCAUGUUGGCCUUCUGUUAUCAUCUAUUAUUUCCAGAUGUUCCUUGUUUUGUUUUGUGUCUAGUUUUCUACUUCCCAAACCAUGUUUUGCUACUCAACCUUUUUCUUAUGUCUGUGUUUGUGGACCCUAGAAAAGGUCUCAGAAAUGUGAUCUUCUUUUAAUUUUUCUUGGUAUCUUUUUUCUUUGUGUCCUCGCAGUGUGGUUUCUGGACACCAUGUAGGAGUGUUACUUUGAUUUCAGGUUUUUGGAAACACAUAACAAAUAUCUCAAUUUUUCUGGCACUACUUUCUUUUCAUCUUUGUUUUACAUCGUGUAUUUCACUUCUGCCAAAAAUGUUAUUUUGAUACUUGGUGUCCCUUUUUAUUGUCUUUGCUACCAUAUUCUUGUUAAUAAGAAAGAAAUAUACAAAACUUGUACGGUUACUUAAUCCUGGUGGCUGCUUUGAAAAAUUCCACUCAGAACAGUUAAGCUGCUGUUAAGCUAAUACAGUUUUUUUGUAAAUGGUCCAAAUUGAUCUUCAUUAAAUAACUUCCUGUUUUUAAUUUGUACUAUCCUAUUUUAAUUUGCUUAGUAUAAAUUAGGUAGUAAUUGGCUAUGAGAUAUUUGCAGUCUUUCUCUACUUUCUAUUUCCUGCAUUUUAUAGUUAGACUGCCCCUAGGUCAAGUUUUGUUGUUACUCAGCACCUGUGAGUUCUUAGCAUUCUUUCUUAGAUUUAUGCUUUGAAUUAGAAAAGCUUUACCAAAAAAAAAAAAAAAAUCUGUUUUCUGCAUGUUGUCCCAUAAAAUUUUCUUUGGAUGCACGAAUGCACGAAGCUCUUACAGAGUUUAAUGGUUACUUCACCUUGUUGAUUUAUUGUGGUUUUUUUGCUGGAGCAUUUUCAUUCUUCUAUCAGCUUGCAGAAACCUUGAAACAUCUGUGUGGCAACAUGGAAGUGAAAAGCACAUUUAACUGCUUUGUUGCUGCGUAUCAUGUGGCAAAUAAAAGCCAUAGGCCUUCAAUGUCCCAGGCAGCCAGUGUUGUACAAAUGGCUUGUAUUCUAACAGUCUAUGCUAGCUGGUUAUUUGAAGUGCAUUUCCCCAUGGAAACAAGGAUAAGAGGGGCACUUAAGUUUCUAGGUUAGUUCAUAAAAGCCUGUUCUACCCAGAAUAUAACUAAAAUUAUGUGCAUUGCAAUGAAUAAGAGCAGAAUAUUGUAAUAUCGGUAACCUAAGUAGCCAGAAAAGUCACAAAACUCAAUAAGAAAGAAGCUUUUAAAAACAUUUACUGAAUGGUGAUUGUCAAGGAAAAACAAAUUUAGCUAGAUAGGGAUGUAGAGAAAUACUCUUAUCAUUCCAACAGGGAUGAUUGAAGGACGUGACACUAGUUUUAUUUAUUAUAUAUGUUUCUCUUUAAAAUAAAAGUAAACAACUUGGCAUAGUUUCAAAAUAUUCUUCAAUAUACUUUUUUAAAUAAUCAGGUAAAAGAUGAUAAAUGUAAAUUUAAUAAGAACUUCUUUUGAUUUGUUUUGUUUUGUUUUUUUGAUAGAGUUGUGCUCUCUCACCCAGGCUGGAGUGUAGUGACGUGAUCAUGGCUCACUGUAGCCACGAUCUCCUGGGUACAAGCAAUCCUCCCACCUCAGCCUCCCGAGUAACCGGGACUACAGGUGUGCACCACCAUGCCCUACUGAAUUUUUUUAAUGCUUAUUUUUUAGUAGAGACGAGGUCUCCCUAUGUUGCCCAGGCUGCUCUCAAGCUCCUGGGUUCAAGUGAUUUACCCACCUUGGCCUCCCCAAGUGCUGGGAUUACAGGCACGAGCCACUGUGCCCGGCCAAGAAAGUUUUAAGAAGUGAAAAACAUCGUGGUUUCCUUCUUGUUUGAGAAAGUUAUAUCAAAGACACUUUUUAUUUCAUUUAGCAGCCAUGACUUCACCCUCCUUUGGUCCUUUCAUUAAAGGAACAGAUGAGGGUUCAUUGUCUGCUAAGUGACAGGUGCCGGGUGGAAUAUGGCAGCAACAAGAGAGACCAAAGAGUGGCACAUUGGUUUAUUGAGAGAGUGAACAAUAUCUGUGGCAGAGAUUUUCCAGUGCAAAUGGGGGCAAGAAAGAAAAAAGUGAAGGAGGAAGGGAAUUCCUAAAGACGUAGAUGGGAGAAGAUUUCCUGAGAAGGAAUGAAUUGAGCUGGGAAUGCAAAAGGACAAGAUGGAGAAGGUAACUAGAAUAUUGGACUCACUGGAGAGGAGACAAGAAAGUAGGGAGAGAGACAACUUAGAUCAGACAGUGAUCACCCAAGCUGAGGGGUGACGUUGUCCACCCCAAAACAACUUCUUGUGACCUAAGGUGAGAAGAGUGAGAAGGGAUGGGGAAUCAAUUUCAGCACAAUUAAAGGGAAGGAGCUGUUUUGCAAGAUGGAUGUUAGAAGCUAUAGGAAGUAAAGCACAGGAAAAAGGCUGAUUUGGCAGAGAUUUUGCUCAGAUAAAUUCCAUGGUUUCCAAGAGUCAAUCAUAAGAGAUCCUUUGAGAAAUGUCCAGAAGUUGCCAUUUUUAUCUAUUUCUUCGCAACAAAAUGCUGUUUCACAUUUAUUAUAAGGUGAUAAUGUGUGAUAAUAAAUUGACUAGUUUAUUGAGGGGACAGAGUUGGAAAGAGCUAAGUAACUGGGGCCCCUGGAAACACUGAAUCAAGAAGUGUCACUCUCUGCAGGGAGGGCAGGAGCUGAGCUCAUGAACUAAUACCUUGCUCACCCCAUUCCUAGCCUCCUUGAGUUGCAGAUGCUUUUGGUGAUAUAUCCUCAUUUUCACUUUAAAGAGUUCUUAACAUUUGUUGUAAAUGUAUUUAAAAGAUUCACCUAGUUAGACCUGUACCCAGUCCCUGCACCCCUAGAAAGAUAGCCCAUCACCCGUAAUUCCCUUAAAGGGCCAGACGAGCUCAGAGACUAAGAGCCGAGAGUGGAGCCAGAACACCUGGGUUUGAAUCCGGACUCAAAUGACACAGUCAUUUCCCAGCAGUGCUGUGUGACUUUGGGCAAGUUACUUAACUUCUCUGGGCCCAGUCUUCAUAUGUAAAGUUGUAUAAUAAUAGUACUUAGAUCAUAGGGUUACUUUGGACAUUGAAUGGGUUAACAGAUGUGAAACUCUUAGAAAAAUGCAUGGCUCCAACUAGUGUUAACUUUAAAAAGCAAAACAAAAGAAAACAAAACUUAAAAUUCCUUUGCCGGUUACUCAUAUUAACAAAAACAAUUACAUAUGUUGCUGUAUGUAUAUUCAUUUACCUUCAGAAGCAUUCUAGUAAAUGCGAGCCAUCAUGUGAAUGGUAAGAGGCUGGCUUAGCCCCUCUGGCUUAGCCCCUCUGGCUUAGCCCACCUCCAGCACCAACUGUCAGAAGAGCUCUAAGACUAAUGGAUCUAAACCUAGUUCACUUUAAGUCAUUGACCAGCUUUGUUGAUUGCAUUUUGCUGUAGCAAUGUUAGAAACCAUAUACAUUAAAUGCUCCUGAUCUUCCUCAGAGAUGGCCCUGCUCAAAGAUGCUGAUAAUAUUUAUCUGUGUGUGGAUGUAGCUAAAUUUCUUUUAAGUAAGUCCAUGGAGGAAAUAAAAAAUACCUCAUAACUUUCCCUUUCAUCUUUGGAUGCCUUCCUUCCAGCAGAGUUUAUGUGGAACAAAAACCUGUCUUUCUAGCCAGUUCUGGCCCCACACAAGCCAGUGAUGUAAUCAAAGUUCAUCCUUGGGGCACUUCCUACCUGGGCUUUAACCCCUAGUCUGAUCUCUGUCACCAUACCUACUCUAUACCCUCAUCCUCACCUCUGUCUUAAUGAAAAUAUAUUGAACAUAUUUUAAACAGGUAAAUAAAUGUUAGAGGCCCAGUGUAUAGCUCCUAUCCUGGGAAAAGCCUGCCUGUCGCUUAUUCUUCUCCCAUGGAAGGCCUUCUCUACAUCCUAUCUUUCUGCAUUUAGAUAAAAUAUGCCUAAUUCCAAGGGAUUUUGUGAGGGGGGGCAGGAGGAGUUAUCAAUAAUAUAGUGGACAUAAAAUGGGAUAUUUUAAGGGAGAAGGAAAAGAGGAAAAGGUGUGGAAAAAAAAAACCCAAGAGCAACAAAGUAGUGGGGGAAACCACAGCAGAAAAGGCAUUAGAGAAGGAAAGAGAGGCGAAGUAGAGAAGAGAGUUAGCUCCUUUUGUGGUCAGCGUCAUGAGAAGCAAGUUGAACAGGGCAAGGUUUAGGAAAGGGUCCUCUGGCAGAUUUAGGAGGUCAGGUAGGGAGGAUUACUGAAAAGCCUUAGUUGUGAACUACACUGAGGCAACAAUAUGGUCCAUCCAACUGGGGGCAUGGCAGAGGUGUUAAGUCAGAUUGGCAAGUGGCCCAAAUUGUUGGUCAGGCUCUGGCCAGGUAAGCCAAUUGGCCAGAGGUCAGCACCAUGGAUAGUCCCAAAGGAUUUGUGGACUCUGGAGAGAAGUGAAGAGAACCCUACAUAUUUGGUGACAGACUAAAGUUUGGUGUUUUUUUUAGCUCAGCCCCUAAGGCUGUUUUGGUUCUACCUAUAUUCAAAAACAACAUUUAUUGAGCACCUAUUGUGUGCCAGACACCCUUACUAGUUCUGGAGAAUGACAAAGAAAUGAGAUGAUACUGUCUGCCCUUAAGAAGCUUACUACUCCCUGGAUAAACUAGAAAUUUUUAAAAAUGAAAAUAAUGAUAUGGCCCUCUUGAGGGAGGAGGGUGGGAAGAGGGAGAGGAUGAGAAAAAAAAUAAUUGUUGAGUACUAUGCUUAGUACCCAGGUGACAAAAUGCUCUGUACCUCAGACUCCUGUGACAUGAGUUUGCCUGUAUUAACAAACCUGCACAUGUACCCCUGAGCCUAAAAUAAAAAUUAAAAAGUGAAAUAAAGAAAAUAAUAAUAGCUAAUAUUUAUUGAGCAAUUACUAUAUACAAAGUACAUAAUUCUAACUGCUAUACAUAAAUUAUUUUAUUGAAUUCUCUCAACAACCUUAUGAAGGAGGUAUUAGUAUCCUUAUAGAUGAUGAAGCUGAGGCACGUAGAAUUUAAGAAACUUUCUUUGUUACGUACCUUGUUAGAAAUAAAGCCAGGAUUUAAA